RNAcentral lists this ribosomal RNA (460 nucleotides) under uncultured bacterium. Its description in RNAcentral is "partial 16S ribosomal RNA". It matches the Rfam family "Bacterial small subunit ribosomal RNA", at positions 338 to 795 of the family's 1533-position model. The record is from RNAcentral.
CCUACGGGAUGCAGCAGUGAGGAAUAUUGGUCAAUGGACGAGAGUCUGAACCAGCCAAGUAGCGUGAAGGAUGACUGCCCUAUGGGUUGUAAACUUCUUUUAUAUAGGAAUACAAUGUUCACCGUGUGGGAUUUUGUAUGUACCCUAUGACUCAGUAUCGGCUAACUCCGUACCCGCAGCCGCGGUACUACGGAGGAUCCGAGCGUUAUCCGGAUUUAUUGGGUUUAAAGGGAGCGUAGGUGGAUUGUUAAGUCAGUUGUGAACUUUUGCGGCUCAACCGUAAAAUUGCAGUUGAAACUGGCAGGCUUGAGUACAGUAGAGGUGGGCGGAAUUCGUGGUGUAGCGGUGAAAUGCUUAGAUAUCACGAAGAACUCCGAUUGCGAAGGCAGCGCACUGGACUGCAACUGACACUGAGGCUCGAAAGUGUGGGUAUCAAACAGGAUUAGAUACCCUAGUAGUC